CCUUGACAACUACAUGAUGUAGUUGACAGUUGCCAAGACAAGGAGUGUAACAUG
RNAcentral lists this non-coding RNA (54 nucleotides) under unclassified sequences. RNAcentral's name for it is "Mu-gpT-DE RNA". It matches the Rfam family "Mu-gpT-DE RNA". The record is from Rfam by way of RNAcentral.